AAUAUUGGUCAAUGGAGGGAACUCUGAACCAGCCAUGCCGCGUGCAGGACGAAGGCCCUACGGGUCGUAAACUGCUUUUGCCGGGGAACAACCGUCCCGACGUGUCGGCGCCUGAGUGUACCCGGACAAUAAGGAUCGGCUAACUCCGUGCCAGCAGCCGCGGUAAUACGGAGGAUCCGAGCGUUAUCCGGAUUUUCUGGGUUUAAAGGGUGCGUAGGCGGCUUUCUAAGUCAGGGGUGAAAUACAGCGGCUCAACCGUUGCAGUGCCUUUGAUACUGGGGGGCUUGAAUGUGGUCGAAGGCGGCGGAAUGGGACAAGUAGCGGUGAAAUGCAUAGAUAUGUCCCAGAACCCCGAUAGCGAAGGCAGCUGCCUAGGCCAUAAUUGACGCUGAUGCACGAAAGCGUGGGGAUCGAACAGG
This 419-nucleotide ribosomal RNA is filed under the name uncultured bacterium. RNAcentral describes it as "partial 16S ribosomal RNA". It matches the Rfam family "Bacterial small subunit ribosomal RNA", at positions 360 to 776 of the family's 1533-position model. The record is from RNAcentral.